This 408-nucleotide ribosomal RNA is filed under the name Viviparus contectus. RNAcentral describes it as "SSU rRNA". It matches the Rfam family "Eukaryotic small subunit ribosomal RNA", at positions 17 to 404 of the family's 1831-position model. The record is from RNAcentral. Lineage: Eukaryota; Metazoa; Mollusca; Gastropoda; Architaenioglossa; Viviparidae.
CCAGUAGUCAUAUGCUUGUCUCAAAGAUUAAGCCAUGCAUGUCUAAGUUCACACCCUUGUACGGUGAAACCGCGAAUGGCUCAUUAAAUCAGUCGAGGUUCCUUAGAUGAUCCAUUUCUACUUGGAUAACUGUGGUAAUUCUAGAGCUAAUACAUGCCCAACAGCUCUGACCCCGGGCUUCACGGUUCGGGGAAAGAGCGCUUUUAUUAGUUCAAAACCAGUCGGGGGUUUCGGCCUUCGUGCUUUGGUGACUCUGGAUAACUUUGAGCCGAUCGCAUGGCCUCGAGCCGGCGACGCAUCUUUCAAAUGUCUGCCCUAUCAAAUGACGACGGUACGUGAUCUGCCUACCGUGUUGACUACGGGUAGCGGGGAAUCAGGGUUCGAUUCCGGAGAGGGAGCAUGAGAAAG